UACGUAGGCAGCGAGCGUUGUUCGGAAUUACUGAGCGUAAAGAGUGUGUAGGCGGUGCUCUAAGUUCGGUGUGAAAUCUCCUGGCUUAACUGGGAGGGUGCGCCGGAAACUGGAGUGCUUGAGCGUGGGAGAGGAAAGCGGAAUUCCUGGUGUAGCGGUGAAAUGCGUAGAUAUCAGGAGGAACACCUGUGGUGUAGACGGCUUUCUGGACCAUUGCUGACGCUGAGACACGAAAGCGUGGGUAGCAAACAGG
This 253-nucleotide ribosomal RNA is filed under the name uncultured bacterium. RNAcentral describes it as "partial 16S ribosomal RNA". It matches the Rfam family "Bacterial small subunit ribosomal RNA", at positions 524 to 776 of the family's 1533-position model. The record is from RNAcentral.